AGUGAACGCUGGCGGUAGGCCUAACACAUGCAAGUCGAACGGCAGCACAGUAAGAGCUUGCUCUUACGGGUGGCGAGUGGCGGACGGGUGAGGUAUAUAUCGGACUCUACUUUUUCGUGGGGGUUAACGUAGGGAAACUUACGCUCAUACCGCAUAUGCUCUACGGGUGAAAGCAGGGGAUCUUCGCAGCUUUCGCGAUUGGAUGAGCCGAUGUUGUGUUUGCUAGUUGGCGGGGUGAAGGCCCACCCAGGCGGCGAUCCGUAGCUGGUGUGUGUGGAGGGUCAGCCGCACUGGAACUGAGACACGGUCCAGAGUCCUACGGGAGGCACCAGUGGGGAACAGUAGACAACAGGCGCAAACCUUGUCCAGCCAGACCGCGUGUGUGAAGAAGGCCUUCGGGGUGGAAAGACCUUUUGUGGGGAAAGAAAAGCAGCAGGUUAAGACCCCGCGGUUCUGACGGUACCCAAAGAAUAAGCACCGGCUAACUUCGUG
RNAcentral lists this ribosomal RNA (492 nucleotides) under uncultured bacterium. RNAcentral's name for it is "partial 16S ribosomal RNA". It matches the Rfam family "Bacterial small subunit ribosomal RNA", at positions 29 to 507 of the family's 1533-position model. The record is from RNAcentral.